CCUACGCGAGGCAGCAGUAGGGAAUCUUCCACAAUGGGCACAAGCCUGAUGGAGCAACACCGCGUGAGUGAAGCAGGGUUUCGGCUCGUAAAGCUCUGUUGUUGGAGAAGAACGUGCGUGAGAGUACCUGUUCGCAGUGACGGUAUCCCACCAGAAAGUCACGGCUAACUACGUGCCAGCAGCCGCGGUAAUACGUAGGGGGAAAGCGUUAUCCGGAUUUCUUGGGCGUCAAGCGACGGCAGUCGGUUGAUUAGUUCUGAUGUGAAAGCCUUCGGCUUAACCGAAGAAGUGAAUCGGAAACCGGGCGACUUGAGUGCAGAAGAGGACAGUGGAACUCCAUGUGUAGCGGUGGAAUGCGUAGAUAUAUGGAAGAACACCAGGGGCGAAGGCGGCUGUCUGGUCUGCAACUGACGCUGAGGCUCGAAAGCAUGGGUAGCGAACAGGAUUAGAUACCCCUGUAGUC
RNAcentral lists this ribosomal RNA (463 nucleotides) under uncultured bacterium. RNAcentral's name for it is "partial 16S ribosomal RNA". It matches the Rfam family "Bacterial small subunit ribosomal RNA", at positions 338 to 795 of the family's 1533-position model. The record is from RNAcentral.